RNAcentral lists this ribosomal RNA (274 nucleotides) under uncultured bacterium. Its description in RNAcentral is "partial 16S ribosomal RNA". It matches the Rfam family "Bacterial small subunit ribosomal RNA", at positions 85 to 354 of the family's 1533-position model. The record is from RNAcentral.
CUGCCGGCGACCGGCGCACGGGUGAGUAACACGUAUGCAACCUGCCCUCCGCAGGGGGAUAACCCGGAGAAAUCCGGACUAAUACCGCGUGGUACACCAGUGGGGCAUCCCACUGGUGUUAAAAGGAAGUGAUUCCGGCGGAGGAUGGGCAUGCGGCGCAUUAGGCAGUAGGCGGGGUAACGGCCCACCUAACCGACGAUGCGUAGGGGUUCUGAGAGGAAGGUCCCCCACACUGGUACUGAGACACGGACCAGACUCCUACGGGAGGCAGCAG